AUUGAACGCUGGCGGCAUGCUUUACACAUGCAAGUCGGACGAGUGGCGAACGGGUGAGUAAUAUAUUGGAACGUACCGAGUAAUGGGGGAUAAACAAUCGAAAGAUUGGCUUAUACCGCAUAUUAUUCUAACCGCCAAUAUCGGAUUAGCUAGUUGGUGGGGUAAAGGCCUAUCAAGGCGACGAUCAGUAACGGGUCUGAGAGGAUGAUCCGCCACCCUGGGACUGGGACACGGCCCAUACUCCUACGGGAGGCAGCAGUGGGGAAUUUUGGACAAUGGGCGCAAUCCUGAUCCAGCCAUGCCGCGUGUCUGAAGAAGGCCUUCGGGUUGUAAAGGACUUUUGUUAGGGAAGCGGUACCUAAAGAAUAAGCACCGGCUAACUACGUGCCAGCAGCCGCGGUAAUUC
RNAcentral lists this ribosomal RNA (406 nucleotides) under uncultured bacterium. RNAcentral's name for it is "partial 16S ribosomal RNA". It matches the Rfam family "Bacterial small subunit ribosomal RNA", at positions 30 to 526 of the family's 1533-position model. The record is from RNAcentral.